Molecule: ribosomal RNA, 358 nt
Filed under: uncultured bacterium
Lineage: Bacteria
Description: partial 16S ribosomal RNA
Rfam family: Bacterial small subunit ribosomal RNA
Source: RNAcentral
CCUACGGGAGGCAGCAGUGAGGAAUAUUGGUCAAUGCUCGCGAGCCUGAACCAGCCAAGUAGCGUGAAGGAUGAAUGCCCUACGGGUUGUAAACUUCUUUUAUAAAGGAAUAAAGUGAGGCACGUGUCCCUUUUUGUAUGUACGUUAUGAGUAAGGAUCGGCUAACUUCGUGCCAGCAGCCGCGGUAAGACGGAGGGUCCGAGCGUUUUCCGGAUUUAUUUGGCUUAAAGGGAGCGUAGAGGGGUUGUUAAGUCAGUUGUGAAAGUUUGUGGCUCAACCGUAAAAUUGCAAUUGAUACUGGCAGCCUAGAGUACAGUUGAGGUAGGCGGAAUUCGUGGUGUAGCGGUGAAAUGCUUAG